RNAcentral lists this ribosomal RNA (326 nucleotides) under uncultured eukaryote. RNAcentral describes it as "partial 18S ribosomal RNA". It matches the Rfam family "Eukaryotic small subunit ribosomal RNA", at positions 1470 to 1796 of the family's 1831-position model. The record is from RNAcentral.
CCCUUAGAUGUUCUGGGCUGCACGCGCGCUACACUGAUGCGUUCAACGAGUUUAUGACCUUGCCCGAUAGGGUUGGGUAAUCUUUUUAAAUCGCAUCGUGAUGGGGAUAGAUUAUUGCAAUUAUUAAUCUUCAACGAGGAAUUCCUAGUAAGCGCGAGUCAUCAGCUCGUGCUGAUUACGUCCCUGCCCUUUGUACACACCGCCCGUCACUCCUACCGAUUGAGUGAUCCGGUGAAUAAUUCGGACUGCAGCAGUGUUCAGUUCCUGAACGUUGCAGCGGAAAGUUUAGUGAACCUUAUCACUUAGAGGAAGGAGAAGUCGUAACA